CCUUGUACACACCGCCCGUCACACCAUGGGAGUCAGUUGCUCCAGAAGUGGCUUACCCAACCCGCAAGGGAGGGUGGUCCCCAAGGAGUGGCUGGUAACUGGGGUG
This 106-nucleotide ribosomal RNA is filed under the name uncultured bacterium. Its description in RNAcentral is "partial 16S ribosomal RNA". It matches the Rfam family "Bacterial small subunit ribosomal RNA", at positions 1379 to 1482 of the family's 1533-position model. The record is from RNAcentral.